CCUAGAAAGGGCGAGCGAAGCGGGAAGAGCUCAAAUUUAAAGCUGGCACCUCCGGGUGUCCGCGUUGUAAUCUCGAGACGUGUUUUCCGUGUGGCGGUAUGGACAAGUCCCUUGGAACAGGGCAUCGUAGAGGGUGAAAAUCCCGUACUUGCCAUGGAUGUACCAUGCUUUGUGAUACACGCUCUAAGAGUCGAGUUGUUUGGGAUUGCAGCUCAAAAUGGGUGGUAGACUCCAUCUAAAGCUAAAUAUCGGGGAGAGACCGAUAGCGAACAAGUACCGUGAGGGAAAGAUGAAAAGCACUUUGGAAAGAGAGUUAAAAGUACGUGAAAUUGUCGAAAGGGAAGCGCUUGAAGUCAGCCAUGCUGCUUGAGACUCAGCCUUGCUUUUGCUUGGUGUAUUUCUCGGUAGCAAGCCAGCAUUGGUUUGAGUCGUCGGAGAAGGGUACGAGAAAUGUGGCAUCCUCGGAUGUGUUAUAGGCUUGUACUGGAUACGACGAUUUGGAUCAAGGAACGCAGUGUGCCUCUGGCGGGUCUUCGGACACCUUCACACUUAG
Molecule: ribosomal RNA, 553 nt
Filed under: Malassezia pachydermatis
Lineage: Eukaryota; Fungi; Basidiomycota; Malasseziomycetes; Malasseziales; Malasseziaceae
Description: eukaryotic LSU rRNA
Rfam family: Eukaryotic large subunit ribosomal RNA
Source: RNAcentral